This 253-nucleotide ribosomal RNA is filed under the name uncultured bacterium. RNAcentral describes it as "partial 16S ribosomal RNA". It matches the Rfam family "Bacterial small subunit ribosomal RNA", at positions 524 to 776 of the family's 1533-position model. The record is from RNAcentral.
GACGAACCGUGCGAACGUUGUUCGGAAUCACUGGGCUUAAAGGGCGCGUAGGCGGGUGACCAAGUCAGGGGUGAAAUCUUUCGGCCCAACCGGAAAAGUGCCUCUGAUACUGGUCGUCUUGAGGGAGGUAGGGGUCGAGGGAACUGGUGGUGGAGCGGUGAAAUGCGUAGAUAUCACGAGGAACGCCGGUGGCGAAAGCGCUCGACUGGACCUCUUCUGACGCUGAGGCGCGAAAGCCAGGGGAGCAAACGGG